AGUUACAUUUUAUUCCUGUUAUUUUUUAUUUUCACAUGUUUCUUCACCUGCAGGUUCUGGAAGAAGCUUCGAGAGGAAGUGCCAGAGUUUUGUUGGGGAAAGCUUACUGUCCCCAAAGGGUGAGAUUAUAAUGAUAGCAGCAUGCUCCUGCAGAACAAUCAGAGAUGAAGGGAACAGACAACAUGGAAGAGUUAACAGGAAGAAGGAAAAGAGUUUAUCAGAAGAUUUGCAUGUGCAGCACCUGGCACAUCACAGACCCAAGUGCAGCUGUAAUAUUGCUAUGAAUACUACUGAUACUAAGGGCUGA
RNAcentral lists this long non-coding RNA (307 nucleotides) under Struthio camelus australis. Its description in RNAcentral is "lncRNA (ENSSCUG00000018713.1)". Lineage: Eukaryota; Metazoa; Chordata; Aves; Struthioniformes; Struthionidae. The record is from RNAcentral.